This 97-nucleotide ribosomal RNA is filed under the name Metamycoplasma hominis. RNAcentral's name for it is "partial 16S ribosomal RNA". It matches the Rfam family "Bacterial small subunit ribosomal RNA", at positions 1 to 106 of the family's 1533-position model. The record is from RNAcentral. Lineage: Bacteria; Bacillati; Mycoplasmatota; Mycoplasmoidales; Metamycoplasmataceae.
UUUUAUAAGAGUUUGAUCCUGGCUCAGGAUGAACGCUGGCUGUGUGCCUAAUACAUGCAUGUCGAGCGAGGUUAGCAAUAACCUAGCGGCGAAUGGG